RNAcentral lists this long non-coding RNA (511 nucleotides) under Capra hircus (goat). RNAcentral's name for it is "lncRNA (ENSCHIG00000006416.1)". Lineage: Eukaryota; Metazoa; Chordata; Mammalia; Artiodactyla; Bovidae. The record is from RNAcentral.
CUCAACUGGUACAAAGCAAACUACUGAUCAGAAUCAUCUCUGAGGAUGUUACAUCUGCAUACAUGGUAUUAACCUUAAAAUGAUCAGAUUGUGCCGUGAACAAAUGGUGAUGCCACUUUGCUCUCUCCUUAUUAAUGAGAGGAUGUCCUGGUACUCCUGAAGCUCCCUUGGAUCUGAUUGUUCAGCGGGGCCACCAAUUAUGAGAACUAUUGCAGAUAUUUCUGAUAAAUUCUCUCUUUGGGCUUUCUUUAUACAUACUGGAUUACUGGAGUCGACUAACUUAGCAUGCUGUGAGGUCACUAUAUGUGCCCUUUUGUUUAAUCAGUCUCUGAAAAAAAAGACAAUUCAGUCCUACCAACUGUGAUAAAGAGAAGAAGGAAGGCAUCAAAGCAAAUGUGAAAUUCUUUCCAGUUGGCACACACAGUGAAUAUUGCUAAUAACUUCUUGAAUUUUCUCUCAUGCCGAUCAAUAUACCCCUUUAUUCAUUGCAGUCAGUAUUGUAACAUUAUUG